This is a long non-coding RNA of Ipomoea triloba (trilobed morning glory), 1552 nucleotides long. RefSeq lists it as uncharacterized. The transcript has 2 exons. NCBI's taxonomy places the organism in Eukaryota, Viridiplantae, Streptophyta, Magnoliopsida, Solanales, Convolvulaceae. The record is from RefSeq and is a predicted model, not a curated record.
UUUUCAGGCUUUAACAAAUCCAGCAAUGCUAUGUCAGCCAUGAGGUCAUCUACAGUAUACAAUAUAUUUAUUUAUUCAUUUCCGGGUAAUAUAAAUACCCCAUCACUCCCCUGUAAAUCAUCCAUCCCAGAAACAUCAAUACAAAUGCUUCUUCCUCCUUCUCCAUUUCAGUGUUCUUCAUCUUUAGUUUAAGAUUCUCAAUUUCUUAUUAAUAUCACAGUUAUAAUUAAUAUUUCAUAACAUGUUAUCAGCACGAGUUGCUCUUUAGCCAUCUCUUCUAUGCACCUCCUAAGCCACCAUAUUCUCUCACGCACUUUGCUAUGUCUAUACCGUGAUUACCGUCCGUUUGGACGAAGACCUCAGCGCCAUAGCUCACCAAUCGGAUCCAUGGCUCUAUGCGCGACAAACCAGGCACACGCUUUGUUUUGCCGGGACGGCAAAGUCUAUACAGCUCAGUAAACCGUGGCCCAGUCCAUCCCCUACGCUACGUACCUUAACUCCACCAGCUGCACCACCUCCGUCAAACUUGCGAGAUGAGACCAGAGAUGUCACCACCGUCGGCUGCCUACCGCAGUGACAGGCGGUAGGUCGUGGUUCGUCGAUCGGCGGAUCGACAAUACCACCACCUAGCUGCUCCAACUUCGCCAAUGACCAAACUCCGGCGAGCUGCCUGCGAACUAACCAGGCCAACGCCAACUCCAAAGCCGGCCAGUAUCACCCCGACGCACGCCACCGCCGGCCAGAGGGAAUCCAGUGUUCUUCUGUUGCCGUGCUGGAAUCUCUGUCUCUGCACGGUGUAUGGAUGUACUGGAAUAUGGUUUGCUGGUUUCCUCCUCUCUCUACUAUUACAUAUUACUCCGUAUAUAUUAAGGUUAAAAGAAUUGCAGCCGAGGACAUAUCAAGCAUGAGGACAAUAAAUUACAAUGCUCAAGAAAACAUGUAGUCUUAAAAUCUGAUAAAGUUUCAUAGCAAAUGGCCAAAUGGGUUUUUAAAAUUAUAAUGGGUUGAUGGUGGCCACGUGAAUUGAAGCCAAGUAUUGUUAUUAUUAUUAUUAUUAAAUGUGGAGGAAUAAUUGGAAAGACAAAUAGUAAAAGAAGAAUAAUAAUAAUAAAUGGGGAAUUCUUGAGCCUUGUGAGAAUUUGUCCUAUGUGUAUGUCUUCAUGUGCAAUGCUAUGGUCUUGUUUCGGGUAAAGACAAAUACAAAAGAGGAGAGUUUUUUACCGUGUUUUUAGGGAAAAAGAAGAAGGAAUUCAGUGUAGGAUUGAACACGCCGAUCUUUGGGUUUAUAUGGGAAAUCUUGACCAUACUCAUAAGGUUUGCCCCUUCAUAUUUUAAUAUGAUAAAAUAUUAUUCAUGCCAUUUAUAUUCAUAUGAUAAUAGUUAUGUGCAAAUGAUUAUUAUGUGCACUAGUCAAAUAUUUGACAUGAUUAUAUUUCCUAAAAUUAUCACUAUGGCAUGAUAAAAGUAUAUAUGAUCUAUGUAUUUACAUCCAAUUGAUGAUUUAAUUUUGAGAGCAUUUGAAAUGUGGAAUACUAUGAUAAGUAUUUUAAAA